This is a long non-coding RNA of Oncorhynchus mykiss (rainbow trout), 389 nucleotides long. RefSeq lists it as uncharacterized. Lineage: Eukaryota; Metazoa; Chordata; Actinopteri; Salmoniformes; Salmonidae. The record is from RefSeq and is a predicted model, not a curated record.
UUUCCAUUAUUAGAACCCACUGGGCACACACCUGGUUGAAUCAACAUUGUUUCUGUGUAAUUUGAACGAAAUUACCUUGAACCAACGUGGAAUAGACGUUGAAUUGACGUCUGUGCACAGUGGGAAAGGGCAGCAGAGCGGACAAAGACAGGACGCCACAAAGAAAAAAAAUAGACACGGCUAUCUGUUGGCUUGCUGUAGAAAUCAGGAUGCACUCGACUAAAAGUCGUAUUUCGGGAGUGAGGUGAGAGCCUUCUCUUGGUUACGGGUUCAUGUGUACUGGAUCAUGGUCUGUGUGUGCACGGAGGGAAAAGGCAUGAGGUGUGACUGGAUUUCCAGUUCAAAAAGGUGCCAUGGCACUGUCUGUUUUUGUUUAUUGUCAAGCAUUG